RNAcentral lists this ribosomal RNA (497 nucleotides) under uncultured bacterium. RNAcentral describes it as "partial 16S ribosomal RNA". It matches the Rfam family "Bacterial small subunit ribosomal RNA", at positions 28 to 507 of the family's 1533-position model. The record is from RNAcentral.
GAUGAACGCUGGCGGCGUGCCUAAUACAUGCAAGUCGAGCGAACGGACGAGAAGCUUGCUUCUCUGAUGUUAGCGGCGGACGGGUGAGUAACACGUGGAUAACCUACCUAUAAGACUGGGAUAACUUCGGGAAACCGGAGCUAAUACCGGAUGAUAUUUUGAACCGCAUGGUUCAAAAGUGAAAGACGGUCUUGCUGUCACUUAUAGAUGGAUCCGCGCUGCAUUAGCUAGUUGGUAAGGUAACGGCUUACCAAGGCAACGAUGCAUAGCCGACCUGAGAGGGUGAUCGGCCACACUGGAACUGGGACACGGUCCAGACUCCUACGGGAGGCAGCAGUAGGGAAUCUUACGCAAUGGGCGAAAGCCUGACGGAGCAACGCCGCGUGAGUGAUGAAGGUCUUCGGAUCGUAAAACUCUGUUAUUAGGGAAGAACAUAUGUGUAAGUAACUGUGCACAUCUUGACGGUACCUAAUCAGAAAGCCACGGCUAACUACGUG